This 785-nucleotide ribosomal RNA is filed under the name uncultured bacterium. RNAcentral's name for it is "bacterial SSU rRNA". It matches the Rfam family "Bacterial small subunit ribosomal RNA", at positions 667 to 1451 of the family's 1533-position model. The record is from RNAcentral.
UNCCAUGUGUAGCGGUGAAAUGCGUAGAUAUAUGGAGGAACACCGGUGGCGAAAGCGGCUCUCUGGUCUGUAGCUGACGCUGAGGCUCGAAAGCGUGGGGAGCGAACAGGAUUAGAUACCCUGGUAGUNCACGCCGUAAACGAUGAGUGCUAGGUGUUAGGCCCUUUCCGGGGCUUAGUGCCGCAGCUAACGCAUUAAGCACUCCGCCUGGGGAGUACGACCGCAAGGUUGAAACUCAAAGGAAUUGACGGGGGCCCGCACAAGCGGUGGAGCAUGUGGUUUAAUUCGAAGCAACGCGAAGAACCUUACCAGGUCUUGACAUCCCGAUGCCCGCUCUAGAGAUAGAGUUUUACUUCGGUACAUCGGUGACAGGUGGUGCAUGGUUGUCGUCAGCUCGUGUCGUGAGAUGUUGGGUUAAGUCCCGCAACGAGCGCAACCCUUAUUGUUAGUUGCCAUCAUUCAGUUGGGCACUCUAGCGAGACUGCCGGUAAUAAACCGGAGGAAGGUGGGGAUGACGUCAAAUCAUCAUGCCCCUUAUGACCUGGGCUACACACGUGCUACAAUGGCUGGUACAACGAGUCGCAAGUCGGUGACGGCAAGCUAAUCUCUUAAAGCCAGUCUCAGUUCGGAUUGUAGGCUGCAACUCGCCUACAUGAAGUCGGAAUCGCUAGUAAUCGCGGAUCAGCACGCCGCGGUGAAUACGUUCCCGGGCCUUGUACACACCGCCCGUCACACCACGAGAGUUUGUAACACCCGAAGUCGGUGAGGUANCCUUUUAGGAGCCA